GACGAACGCUGGCGGCGUGCUUAACACAUGCAAGUCGAACGGAAAGGCCCUGCUUUUGUGGGGUGCUCGAGUGGCGAACGGGUGAGUAACACGUGAGUAACCUGCCCUUGACUUUGGGAUAACUUCAGGAAACUGGGGCUAAUACCGGAUAGGAGCUCCUGCAGCAUGGUGGGGGUUGGAAAGUUUCGGCGGUUGGGGAUGGACUCGCGGCUUAUCAGCUUGUUGGUGGGAUAGUGGCUUACCAAGGCUUUGACGGGUAGCCGGCCUGAGAGGGUGACCGGCCACAUUGGGACUGAGAUACGGCCCAGACUCCUACGGGAGGCAGCAGUGGGGAAUAUUGCACAAUGGGCGGAAGCCUGAUGCAGCAACGCCGCGUGCGGGAUGACGGCCUUCGGGUUGUAAACCGCUUUCGCCUGUGACGAAGCGUGAGUGACGGUAAUGGGUAAAGAAGCACCGGCUAACUACGUG
RNAcentral lists this ribosomal RNA (468 nucleotides) under uncultured bacterium. RNAcentral describes it as "partial 16S ribosomal RNA". It matches the Rfam family "Bacterial small subunit ribosomal RNA", at positions 28 to 507 of the family's 1533-position model. The record is from RNAcentral.